CAUCGUCCAGGAUCUCUACGGCACUCAUCCAGUUUGGAUUGAAGUCCCGGGCGAUCUCUUCAAAGUUUCCUUCCAUGGGCUUGUAGGCAAGGAGCAGGACAGACCGCAUCAGAUCUCCCACGAGGAUGAAGUCUCCCUUGGUCUUCAGGUAGAGAGCCAUGAUGUUGUUGUAAUGGUUGCACUCCGUGCGCAGCUCCUUCUCGGCCGUCCACUCGUACAGGCGCACCGUGCUGUUGAUGCUGGCUAACAGCUUCCCGUUGAACUCCACCAUGGAAUACACAGCUCCCUUCACCUCCUUCUCAGCCAGGCUCUGCAGCUUGCCGUCAGAGUAGUGGAAGACGACGAUGCGGCCCUGCUUCGGCUCUGCCUCCUCAGGAUACACCAUGGCAGUACCCACGAUGAAGUAGGUGUUUGGGUCUUUGCCAAGCUUGCAGGAGACCAGGCUAAGGGCGUAUUCGUUUUGUAGAAACUGGUGAGCAUGAAGCACUUCAAAAGUGUGCUGAUCGAUGAUGAGCAGGUUGUGCACCUCCACCUCCUCUCCAAAGGAUGUCUCGUGUGGCGCUGUGCUGCUGGAGAACAGCUUGCUGGUGCUCACACUGCUAGACAGGGCCUGGGUGCUGGCGCUGGGUCUGAGCGCAGUGGUGCCCCCGCUGGCAUCUUGCACCUCGAUACGACUUGAGAGCACACCAAAACACUGUGAUACUUCUUGGUAGCAGAUCUUCCUGGGUGAUUCAUA
Molecule: long non-coding RNA, 736 nt
Filed under: Gallus gallus (chicken)
Lineage: Eukaryota; Metazoa; Chordata; Aves; Galliformes; Phasianidae
Source: RNAcentral